AUGUCGUGGUCGUCGAGUGUCGCGUCCGCUCCCGGAUACCGUCGAGCUGCAGGAAGGAGGGGGGAGGAGUCGCGCUCGCCGGUGCGCUACCGCGAGAAUCCAAUGUGCCACUGCAAUCCUCCGAGGAAGGCGCCAAGAUGGAUCUCCUGGAGCCGGCAGAACCCUGGCAGGAGGUACUAUUGCUGCGUGGAUGCUAUGCAUGGUGGUUGUGGAUUUGUGGAGUGGCAUGAUGAUCCUUUGCCGAAAUUUUGGAGUGAGCUGAUUGGGGAUCUGCGUGAUGAAGUCUGGAGGCUUAAAGGCGCUGCAACCGUUGCUCGAUCUGAAGGUCAAUUUGCAAUGGUAGCUCCCAGUGAAGAUCAAGCCACAAGGGAGGCCACGGUUCUGUCUCUGCUAGAUCAACUAAGAGAGAAGAAUGAAGAGAUAGCUGGGAUUAGGGCCAAAUAUCAUAAUGUGGUGUUUCUUUUUACUAUAUUUGUGCUUGGUUUAGUUGCAAGCAAGAUGUUAAGUUAG
This 510-nucleotide ribosomal RNA is filed under the name Triticum aestivum (bread wheat). RNAcentral's name for it is "partial small subunit ribosomal RNA". Lineage: Eukaryota; Viridiplantae; Streptophyta; Magnoliopsida; Poales; Poaceae. The record is from RNAcentral.